RNAcentral lists this small RNA (29 nucleotides) under Bombyx mori (domestic silkworm). RNAcentral describes it as "ovarian small RNA-31252". The record is from RNAcentral. Lineage: Eukaryota; Metazoa; Arthropoda; Insecta; Lepidoptera; Bombycidae.
UGAAUUGUAAGCACGAUGUAUUCACGGUC